GUCCUGAGACGGCUGUAGUGAUGAUGCAAGCACAUAAAAAAUAAAGCUUGACGCCCAAAAGGUGAUGGCGAUUCUGAAACUAAGACGAGAGUUACUAUUUCAGAAUCAUAAAGUGCCACAGAGACGAGCUAUGUGGAAACACAUAGGUGAAACGAGGUAAACCCCUUCAGGA
Molecule: unclassified non-coding RNA, 172 nt
Filed under: Candidatus Mycoplasma turicense
Lineage: Bacteria; Bacillati; Mycoplasmatota; Mollicutes; Mycoplasmatales; Mycoplasmataceae
Description: Candidatus Mycoplasma turicensis partial ribonuclease P RNA
Source: RNAcentral